This is a long non-coding RNA of Telopea speciosissima, 267 nucleotides long. RefSeq lists it as uncharacterized. NCBI's taxonomy places the organism in Eukaryota, Viridiplantae, Streptophyta, Magnoliopsida, Proteales, Proteaceae. The transcript has 2 exons. The record is from RefSeq and is a predicted model, not a curated record.
CUGCUCAGCCAGUCUCUUCCUGUUCUGGUAGCGGACCUGGAAAAAAAAAACAAGAAAAGGACAGUUCCAUCUAAUUCUUUCACAAUGAAUUAGAAUAGAAGACUUAAUUAUCAAUUGGGAACAACUGUGUGUGGCAUUAAUCCAGUUAGCCAUGAACCUCUAGGAGUCAACUUAUUGAAUACAGUUGAGGGAAAUUUGUCAGGGGAAAAUUCCAAGGACAUGAACACUGUCCCUCAGAAGCAGCUUGGAGCCACUGAUUAGUGGGAA